This 83-nucleotide transfer RNA is filed under the name Trichonephila inaurata madagascariensis. RNAcentral's name for it is "tRNA-Arg". It matches the Rfam family "tRNA". From Rfam's summary of the family: Transfer RNA (tRNA) molecules are approximately 80 nucleotides in length. Their secondary structure includes four short double-helical elements and three loops (D, anti-codon, and T loops). The record is from RNAcentral. Lineage: Eukaryota; Metazoa; Arthropoda; Arachnida; Araneae; Nephilidae.
UUCAGGAUGGCCGAGUGGUUAUGGUAUCGGACUUCUAUUCCGAUCGACUGUUGUGUCUGUAGGUUCAAUUCCUGUUCCUGAAA